Molecule: long non-coding RNA, 584 nt
Organism: Helicoverpa zea (corn earworm)
Lineage: Eukaryota; Metazoa; Arthropoda; Insecta; Lepidoptera; Noctuidae
Exons: 3
Source: RefSeq, a predicted model, not a curated record
UAGCAUAACUGACAAAAAUUCCAUGAAAAAAAAACGAUUGCAGCAGAAAGAUUGUCUGUUGUUUUGUUAACCGGUAUUUGGAUUUAAACGGUGUUCAUUUCAAUGAAAAAAUACGCGGAGGUGGUGAAUUUAUCUGUUAAAAACGUUUACUUACAACAGCAAGUGGGUAUUUCCUUCCUUGACGAACAUUAUCGACCAUAGGUUUAUUUACUUGUACAAAUGUGGCUUCGCUUCCAAAAACUACAGCUGUCGUGAGCUUUCAUGGCUUGAGAUAAUAAAUAAAAAAAUUCACUCAUGGCGGUGUUGCUCUGCAGAAAAUACAUCAUGAAAAUAUAAUAAUAAUAUUUCAUGUUAUCACGGUAUUUACAAUACAAGAAAAUACCAACCGGAGGUCACAAGAAGUUGGAAAAGGAUAAAAUACAGAUAGCAUUUGGAUUUUUGUGGAAGGGAGACAAUCUUGUCAUGAAUGAGACUGGACACCAAGCCUAAUAUAGAUGGGAAAAGGCUAGGCAGAUGAUAAUGGGUGGUAUAACUGGCAUCUUUAACGUCUCUAGGGAAGCUGCAACCUUCAUGUCAAAAUCAUC